This 440-nucleotide ribosomal RNA is filed under the name uncultured bacterium. Its description in RNAcentral is "bacterial SSU rRNA". It matches the Rfam family "Bacterial small subunit ribosomal RNA", at positions 338 to 770 of the family's 1533-position model. The record is from RNAcentral.
CCUACGGGUGGCUGCAGUCGAGGAUCUUCCGCAAUGUGCGCAAGCAUGACGGAGCGACGCCGCGUGGGUGAUGAAGGCCUUCGGGUUGUAAAGCCCUGUUAGCUGUUAUGAACCGCGGGUGGUGAACAACUAUCCCGCUUGACGUAAGCAGCAGAGAAAGCACCGGCUAACUACGUGCCAGCAGCCGCGGUAAUACGUAGGGUGCAAACGUUGUUCGGAAUCACUGGGCAUAAAGCGCGCGUAGGCGGUCUGAUAAGUCCUGUGUGAAAGCCCCCGGCUUAACCGGGGAAUCGCACGGGAUACUGUCGGGCUAGAGUACAGGAGGGGAGAGCGGAAUUCCUGGUGGAGCGGUGAAAUGCGUAGAUAUCAGGAGGAACGCCGGUGGCGAAAGCGGCUCUCUGGUCUGUCACUGACGCUGAGGCGCGAAAGCUAGGGGAGCA